Molecule: ribosomal RNA, 813 nt
Filed under: uncultured marine euryarchaeote
Lineage: Archaea; Methanobacteriati; Methanobacteriota
Description: bacterial SSU rRNA
Rfam family: Archaeal small subunit ribosomal RNA
Source: RNAcentral
UCGGCAUACUGCUCAGUAACACGUGGAUAACCUGCCCUAUCGUCUGGAAUAACCUCGGGAAACUGAGAACAAGGCCGGAUAGUUCACAAUGCCUGGAACGGUUUGUGAAUCAAGGUAGGAUGGGUCUGCGGCGUAUCAGGUUGUAGGGGGUGUAAAGGACCCCCUAGCCUUCGACGCGUACGGGUGUUGGGAGACAUAGCCCGGAGAUGGAUUCUGAGACACGAAUCCAGACCCUACGGGGUGCAGCAGGCGCGAAAACUUCACACUGCAGGAAACUGUGAUGAGGGAACUCCUAGUGCAUGCACUAUGUGUAUGUAGAUCCUACUCUUAACAAGUAGAGGGAAAGGGCUGGGAAAGACCGGUGCCAGCCGCCGCGGUAAUACCGGCAGCUCAAGUGGUCGUCGCUUUUAUUGGGCCUAAAACGUCCGUAGCCUGUUUGGUAAAUCUGUGGGUAAAUCAAUCCGCUCAACGGAUUGAAUUCUGCAGAGACUGCCAGACUAGGGACCGGGAGAGGUGUGGGGUACUCGAGGGGUAGGGGUAAAAUCCUGUCAUCCUUCGAGGACCACCAGUUGCGAAGGCGCCACACUGGAACGGAUCCGACGGUCAGGGACGAAGCCUAGGGGCACGAACCGGAUUAGAUACCCGGGUAGUCCUAGGUGUAAACGCUGUGAACUUGGUGUCGGGGGUCCGCAAGGGGUCCCCGGUGCCGGAGUGAAGAUGUUAAGUUCACUGCCUGGGGAGUACGGUCGCAAGGCUGAAACUUAAAGGAAUUGGCGGGGGAGCACUGCAACGGGAGGAGCGUGCGGUUUAAUU